RNAcentral lists this ribosomal RNA (429 nucleotides) under Pseudomonadota bacterium. RNAcentral's name for it is "Proteobacteria bacterium partial 16S ribosomal RNA". It matches the Rfam family "Bacterial small subunit ribosomal RNA", at positions 355 to 776 of the family's 1533-position model. The record is from RNAcentral. Lineage: Bacteria; Pseudomonadati; Pseudomonadota.
UGGGGAAUAUUGGACAAUGGGCGAAAGCCUGAUCCAGCCAUGCCGCGUGUGUGAAGAAGGUCUUCGGAUUGUAAAGCACUUUAAGUUGGGAGGAAGGGCAGUAAGCGAAUACCUUGCUGUUUUGACGUUACCGACAGAAUAAGCACCGGCUAACUCUGUGCCAGCAGCCGCGGUAAUACAGAGGGUGCAAGCGUUAAUCGGAAUUACUGGGCGUAAAGCGCGCGUAGGUGGUUCGUUAAGUUGAAUGUGAAAGCCCCGGGCUCAACCUGGGAACUGCAUCCAAUACUGGCGAGCUAGAGUAGGGCAGAGUGUGGUGGAAUUUCCUGUGUAGCGGUGAAAUGCGUAGAUAUAGGAAGGAACACCAGUGGCGAAGGCGACCACCUGGGCUCAUACUGACACUGAGGUGCGAAAGCGUGGGGAGCAAACAGG